Molecule: non-coding RNA, 108 nt
Organism: Acanthosepion pharaonis
Lineage: Eukaryota; Metazoa; Mollusca; Cephalopoda; Sepiida; Sepiidae
Source: the annotation of a GenBank genome assembly
UUACGGCUACAUCACGUUGAAAGACCAGUUCCCGUACGAUCAUCGAAGUUAAGCAACGUCAAGCCUGCUCAGUACUUAGAUGGGUGACUGCUUGAGAAUAACAGGUAC